GAAAGCCCAGGGGAGCGAAAGGGAUUAGAUACCCCUGUAGUCCUGGCCGUAAACGAUGAACACUAGGUGUCGGGGGAAUCGACCCCCCUCGGUGUCGUAGCUAACGCGUUAAGUGUUCCGCCUGGGGAGUACGCACGCAAGUGUGAAACUCAAAGGAAUUGACGGGGGCCCGCACAAGCGGUGGAGUAUGUGGUUUAAUUCGAUGCAACGCGAAGAACCUUACCAGGAUUUGACAUCCUGCGAACCUCUUAGAAAUUUGAGGGUGCCUUCGGGAACGCAGUGACAGGUGGUGCAUGGCUGUCGUCAGCUCGUGUCGUGAGAUGUUGGGUUAAGUCCCGCAACGAGCGCAACCCACGUUUUUAGUUGCCAGCAUUUAGUUGGGCACUCUAGAAAGACCGCCGGUGAUAAACCGGAGGAAGGUGUGGAUGACGUCAAGUCAUCAUGCCCCUUACAUCCUGGGCUACACACGUACUACAAUGCUACGGACAAAGGGCAGCAAACUCGCGAGGGCAAGCAAAUCCCAUAAACCGUGGCUCAGUUCAGAUCGUAGGCUGCAACUCGCCUACGUGAAGCAGGAAUCGCUAGUAAUCGCAGGUCAGCAUACUGCGGUGAAUACGUUCCCGGGCCUUGUACACACCGCCCGUCACACCAUGGAAGUUGGCCACGCCCGAAGUCGUUACUCCAACCCUUGUGGAGGAGGACGCCGAAGGUGGGGCUGAUGACUGGGGUGAAGUCGUAACAAGGUAACC
This 749-nucleotide ribosomal RNA is filed under the name uncultured cyanobacterium. RNAcentral's name for it is "bacterial SSU rRNA". It matches the Rfam family "Bacterial small subunit ribosomal RNA", at positions 755 to 1501 of the family's 1533-position model. Lineage: Bacteria; Bacillati; Cyanobacteriota. The record is from RNAcentral.